CGAAAUGCGAUAAGUAAUGUGAAUUGCAGAAUUCAGUGAAUCAUCGAAUCUUUGAACGCACCUUGCGCUCCUUGGUAUUCCUUGGGGCAUGCCUGUUUGAGUAUCAUGAAAUCUUCAAAGUAAAUCUUUUGUUAACUCAAUUGGUUUCUACUUUGGUAUUGGAGGUCUUUGCAGCUUCACACCUGCUCCUCUUUGUUCAUUAGCUGGAUCUCAGUGUUAUGCUUGGUUCCACUCGGCGUGAUAAGUUAUCUAUCGCUGAGGACACUGUAAAAGGUGGCCAAGGUAAAUGCAGAUGAACCGCUUCUAAUAGUCCAUUGACUUGGACAAUACUUUUAUGAUCUGAUCUCAAAUCAGGUAGGACUACCCGCUGAACUUAAGC
RNAcentral lists this unclassified non-coding RNA (379 nucleotides) under plant metagenome. Its description in RNAcentral is "partial contains 5.8S ribosomal RNA, internal transcribed spacer 2, and large subunit ribosomal RNA". The stretch from base 1 to 106 matches the Rfam family "5.8S ribosomal RNA", at positions 49 to 154 of the family's 154-position model. The record is from RNAcentral.